RNAcentral lists this ribosomal RNA (253 nucleotides) under uncultured bacterium. RNAcentral describes it as "partial 16S ribosomal RNA". It matches the Rfam family "Bacterial small subunit ribosomal RNA", at positions 524 to 776 of the family's 1533-position model. The record is from RNAcentral.
UACGAAGGACCCGAGCGUUAUCCGGAUUUAUUGGGUUUAAAGGGUGCGUAGGCGGAUUAGUAAGUCAGUGGUGAAAGCCCGUCGCUUAACGGCGGAACUGCCAUUGAUACUGCUAGUCUUGAGUAUGGUUGAGGUGGGCGGAAUGUGUCAUGUAGCGGUGAAAUGCUUAGAUAUGACACAGAACACCAAUUGCGAAGGCAGCUCGCUAAGCCAUAACUGACGCUGAUGCACGAAAGCGUGGGGAGCAAACAGG